This 440-nucleotide ribosomal RNA is filed under the name uncultured bacterium. Its description in RNAcentral is "partial 16S ribosomal RNA". It matches the Rfam family "Bacterial small subunit ribosomal RNA", at positions 338 to 795 of the family's 1533-position model. The record is from RNAcentral.
CCUACGGGAGGCAGCAGUGGGGAAUAUUGCACAAUGGGGGGAACCCUGAUGCAGCAACGCCGCGUGGGUGAAGAAGUACUCCGGUAUGUAAAGCCCUGUCAGCAGGGAAGAAAAUUACGGUACCUGACCAAGAAGCCCCGGCUAACUACGUGCCAGCAGCCGCGGUCAUACGUAGGGGGCGAGCGUUAUCCGGAUUCACUGGGUGGAAGGGGAGCGUAGACGGCCGUGCAAGCCAGGCGUGAAAGCCCGGGGCCCAACCCCGGGACUGCUCUUGGAACUGUGCGGCUGGAGUGCGGGAGGGGCAGGCGGAAUUCCUGGUGUAGCGGUGAAAUGCGUAGAUAUCAGGAGGAACACCGGCGGCGAAGGCGGCCUGCUGGACCGCGACUGACGUUGAGGCUCGAAAGCGUGGGGAGCGAACAGGAUUAGAUACCCGAGUAGUC